This 525-nucleotide long non-coding RNA is filed under the name Struthio camelus australis. RNAcentral describes it as "lncRNA (ENSSCUG00000006630.1)". The record is from RNAcentral. Lineage: Eukaryota; Metazoa; Chordata; Aves; Struthioniformes; Struthionidae.
UUUCCUUAAGUUCUCCUUUUAUGAAAAAAGCACAGACUCCACCCACGCUGUUUAAGCCCAGGUCUGAGCCAUGGGCUCUGCCCGGCUCACUGCUGUAGUCUCCCUGCAGGGAGGCAGAGAGAAACCCCGGCGAGCAGUGGCCCAGCUGACAGCGUCACUGCAGUAAGGGCAGAGUGACAGAGAAGGAAGAGGGAUAACACCUGCGGUGAAACUCACCACUCCGGGCUGAUCCCAGGAGGACUAUCUACUGGGUGGAGAACUCCCUGUGCCGUGCCGCAGAUUCAAAAGCAGAGGAAUUAUUUCAAGAUAAUGUCAAAAACUCAGUGGCAACGAUGAAUCGUGGAAGAUUUCUUUCAAUUUUGUCCGAAAUCUUUGCCUCUGCUGACGCCCAAGGAAAUGGAACAGACAGAAACGCACAGAGAAGCGUUCUGCACAAGCCCUUGCUGCAGAGAAGGCAUUUGUAAAAAAGAAACCAGUGCUCAUGUUAGCUUAUUGGAAUAAAUAUCUUCAGAACCGUGAAGUUCA